This 53-nucleotide ribosomal RNA is filed under the name Anisakis typica. Its description in RNAcentral is "partial 28S ribosomal RNA". The record is from RNAcentral. Lineage: Eukaryota; Metazoa; Nematoda; Chromadorea; Rhabditida; Anisakidae.
UUUGACCUCAGCUCAGUCGUGAUUACCCGCUGAAUUUAAGCAUAUAAUUAAGC